This 253-nucleotide ribosomal RNA is filed under the name uncultured bacterium. Its description in RNAcentral is "partial 16S ribosomal RNA". It matches the Rfam family "Bacterial small subunit ribosomal RNA", at positions 524 to 776 of the family's 1533-position model. The record is from RNAcentral.
UACGGAGGGCGCUAGCGUUGUUCGGAAUUACUGGGCGUAAAGCGCACGUAGGCGGCUAUUCAAGUCGGGGGUGAAAGCCCGGGGCUCAACCCCGGAACUGCCCUCGAAACUAGAUAGCUAGAAUCUUGGAGAGGCGAGUGGAAUUCCGAGUGUAGAGGUGAAAUUCGUAGAUAUUCGGAAGAACACCAGUGGCGAAGGCGACUCGCUGGACAAGUAUUGACGCUGAGGUGCGAAAGCGUGGGGAGCAAACAGG